Molecule: ribosomal RNA, 395 nt
Filed under: uncultured bacterium
Lineage: Bacteria
Description: bacterial SSU rRNA
Rfam family: Bacterial small subunit ribosomal RNA
Source: RNAcentral
GACGAACGCUGGCGGCGUGCUUAACACAUGCAAGUCGAGCGGUAAGGCCCUUUCGGGGGUACACGAGCGGCGAACGGGUGAGUAACACGUGGGUGACCUGCCCUCAGCUCUGGGAUAAGCCUGGGAAACCGGGUCUAAUACCGGAUAUGACUCCAUGACGCAUGUUGUGGGGUGGAAAGCCUUGUGCGGCUGAGGAUGGGCCCGCGGCCUAUCAGCUUGUUGGCGGGGUGAUGGCCUACCAAGGCGACGACGGGUAGCCGGCCUGAGAGGGCGACCGGCCACACUGGGACUGAGACACGGCCCAGACUCCUACGGGAGGCAGCAGUGGGGAAUCUUGCGCAAUGGGCGAAAGCCUGACGCAGCGACGCCGCGUGAGGGAUGACGGCCUGGUGUAA